GACCUGGUGGUUAAAUGCAUCACACUUGCAUUCUGUACGAAUGAGUCUUGCGAGAAGCAGGAGUUCCCGGUUCGAUUCCGGGUCGGGUCA
Non-coding RNA from Mycena latifolia, 90 nucleotides. The record is from the annotation of a GenBank genome assembly. NCBI's taxonomy places the organism in Eukaryota, Fungi, Basidiomycota, Agaricomycetes, Agaricales, Mycenaceae.